RNAcentral lists this ribosomal RNA (279 nucleotides) under uncultured bacterium. Its description in RNAcentral is "partial 16S ribosomal RNA". It matches the Rfam family "Bacterial small subunit ribosomal RNA", at positions 506 to 784 of the family's 1533-position model. The record is from RNAcentral.
UGCCAGCCUCCUCGGUAAUGCUAAGUGGGCUAUCUUGGUUCGGAAUUACUGGGCGUAAAGCGCACGUAAGCGGACUUUUAAGUCAGAUGUGAAAUCCCGGGGCUCAACCUCGGAACUGCAUUUGAAACUGGAAGUCUGGAGUUCAGGAGAGGUUAGCGGAAUACCGAGUGUAGAGGUGAAAUUCGUAGAUAUUCGGUGGAACACCAGUGGCGAAGGCGGCUAACUGGACUGAUACUGACGCUGAGGUGCGAAAGUGUGGGGAGCAAACAGGAUUAGAUA